AACGAACGCUGGCGGCAUGCCUAACACAUGCAAGUCGAACGAGACCUUCGGGUCUAGUGGCGCACGGGUGCGUAACGCGUGGGAACCUGCCCUUAGGUUCGGAAUAACUCCCCGAAAGGGGUGCUAAUACCGGAUAAUGUCUUCGGACCAAAGAUUUAUCGCCUUUGGAUGGGCCCGCGUUGGAUUAGCUAGUUGGUAGGGUAAAAGCCUACCAAGGCGACGAUCCAUAGCUGGUCUGAGAGGAUGAUCAGCCACACUGGGACUGAGACACGGCCCAGACUCCUACGGGAGGCAGCAGUGGGGAAUAUUGGACAAUGGGCGAAAGCCUGAUCCAGCACUGCCGCGUGAGUGAUGAAGGCCUUAGAGUUGUAAAGCUCUUUUACCCGGGAUGAUAAUGACAGUACCGGGAGAAUAAGCUCCGGCUAACUCCGUG
Molecule: ribosomal RNA, 433 nt
Filed under: uncultured bacterium
Lineage: Bacteria
Description: partial 16S ribosomal RNA
Rfam family: Bacterial small subunit ribosomal RNA
Source: RNAcentral